RNAcentral lists this transfer RNA (77 nucleotides) under Firmicutes bacterium CAG:552. Its description in RNAcentral is "transfer RNA-Arg(TCT)". It matches the Rfam family "tRNA". From Rfam's summary of the family: Transfer RNA (tRNA) molecules are approximately 80 nucleotides in length. Lineage: Bacteria; Bacillati; Bacillota. The record is from RNAcentral. RNAcentral also lists the same sequence under 2 other names.
GCGCCAGUAGCUCAGCUGGAUAGAGCAACGCCCUUCUAAGGCGUGGGUCGGGGGUUCGAAUCCCUCCUGGCGCGCCA